Long non-coding RNA from Zophobas morio, 923 nucleotides. RefSeq lists it as uncharacterized. NCBI's taxonomy places the organism in Eukaryota, Metazoa, Arthropoda, Insecta, Coleoptera, Tenebrionidae. The transcript has 3 exons. The record is from RefSeq and is a predicted model, not a curated record.
ACGGAUAAGAGCGGUGUUGGUGGCUCACUUUUUUACCGUAAGAGUACUUCUAACUACUCUGAAUUUGUUUCAAACUUUAAAAUGCGCUCUUUAUCAGUUAUGAAUACACAAACUGUACCAAAUAUCAAGUGAACUCUCGGGAUCAGUGUAAACUUUCGUUAUCACUUCGUUCAGAAUGAUUGUUUAAUAAUUCAACGUUUAAUAACAUUGAUAUACUGCGAAGUGAACUGAUUACAUGUAACAACUCGUACGAUUUUUUCAGUUCCACCAAACCCAAAGCUUUAAAUAAUGCGUAGUAUUUUAAAAGCUAGUAGUAUUAAAACCCUUGUGAAUUAUUUGGGCAUCAACGAAAUCAUUUUAGGAGCGCUAUGCCUAAUCCACUCCAUUUCGAUGAUCCGCAACUUUUCAGAGACAGCAGAAGUUCCCCAGAGUGACAUCUUCUUCUACGACUUUGGACCCUACUACUAUUUCCUGCUAGUGGCUGCCGGGUUGUCGCUGCUUAAGGGACCUCUUUUAAUAUACAGCGUGAAAAAGGAAAAUAAAUCAGGUCUUUUAAUCUACUUUGUACUCACUGUGUUUAUCUUGUUUAUAGCGAAGGGCUUCAUUAUUGAAAGAGGGAUCUAUACACGAGAGCAAAACGCCAAAAUUGUUGACGGAAAUUACACUUCUCAUUUUAUACAACGACGUCAGCGGUCUUUUAAUUUUCAUUACAUAUUUUUUUAUCCUUUUGUGUUUACGCUUUAUUGGUUUUUCCAACUGUGCGUGUUUUUGCAUUAUAGAAAUUUGAGCACAGGAGAGGGUGUGGAAGUGGGAAUUCCGCUGGAAAUCGUUUAGAAAAUAGUGUAAUAGGGACGAUUAUUUAUCAUUGUGGAAUGUGUAAACUCGAACUAAAUAAAGCUAUUGACAUACCAUACUUAUAAUAA